GGUGGUGGUCCACUACAGAAGCAAGCAUUUGAAAAAACAUCAGUUCUCAGUUAUUAAAGAUGCUGUGUUGAACAACUUCCCAGCAGCAACAGAACUGGAAGUGAAGGAUGCAAUGGGGGCAUUUCAAACAGGCACCAGGGAGCACGGGGGGGGGGGGGUAUAGAAAUUAGUACAAUUAAUAAGUUGACGUGAACUGAAGAUAGUUCGUUAAUGUUUAGAUGUUAUUUCAUUUUUAAAAUUGUAUUUUGUUAUAUAUGCUUUUAUUUUGUUACUGUUUUUAUUCUUUUUGUUAAAAGUAGUUUUUCUUCAUUUUGUCUUAUCUGAAUUUCUAUUGUAUUAACAAUAUUUUUUGUAAUAAAUUGCAUGAUUGCAUGUUUAUGAGAACCUUUUUUAAUGGAUUAAAAAGAAUUCUUUAGCCA
Long non-coding RNA from Paramisgurnus dabryanus, 419 nucleotides. RefSeq lists it as uncharacterized. The record is from RefSeq and is a predicted model, not a curated record. NCBI's taxonomy places the organism in Eukaryota, Metazoa, Chordata, Actinopteri, Cypriniformes, Cobitidae.